Molecule: ribosomal RNA, 199 nt
Filed under: uncultured bacterium
Lineage: Bacteria
Description: partial 16S ribosomal RNA
Rfam family: Bacterial small subunit ribosomal RNA
Source: RNAcentral
AGUCUGCAACUCGACUACAUGAAGCUGGAAUCGCUAGUAAUCGCAGAUCAGAAUGCUGCGGUGAAUACGUUCCCGGGUCUUGUACACACCGCCCGUCACACCAUGGGAGUCGGAAAUGCCCGAAGCCGGUGACCAAACCAAUAAGGAAGGAGCCGUCGAAGGCAGGUCUGAUAACUGGGUGAAGUCGUAACAAGGUAAC